Molecule: non-coding RNA, 167 nt
Organism: Pelobates cultripes (western spadefoot toad)
Lineage: Eukaryota; Metazoa; Chordata; Amphibia; Anura; Pelobatidae
Source: the annotation of a GenBank genome assembly
GGUCAGCUGACACAUCCCUGCCAAUCUCCGGCAGACCCUCCCUCCCAGACCCUCCCACCUCCUGGACAGCAUCCAUGUUGCAGCUGCCUUCAACAUGGAUGCUGUCCAGGAAGUAGGAGGGUCUGGGAGGGAGGGUCUGCCGGAGAUUGGCAGGGAUGUGUCAGCUG